RNAcentral lists this long non-coding RNA (907 nucleotides) under Mus musculus (house mouse). RNAcentral describes it as "long non-coding RNA chr1:40025390-40026297". The record is from RNAcentral. Lineage: Eukaryota; Metazoa; Chordata; Mammalia; Rodentia; Muridae.
UUUUGUUUCUUUGAAAGUUUUUUGGAGGGGAUUGUCCUGGCCAAGAACUCAGUCAUUUUUCUGUGUACCAAGUUUUGCCUAAAUUGUGCAGGUGGUUCUUAAAAAAGAAAGAAAAGGAAAAGAAAAGUGUGUGUCUUGUUGGAGGGCCAGAAGUUUGUCGUGUGACAGUAUUAGCCCGGCCUCGGCUACAGGUUUAAAGUCUGUUAGGCCUAAGUGCAGCUCCCCGUGGCCUGCACACACCGUAGGAGAAGGUCAGCUUUCCUGUGGGGUUUUGUUUCAUUUUGUUUUGUUUUUUGCCUACCUCACUGUUUUUAAUGCAUUGAGAGGUGACUUAGUUUAUGGUUUUGGCAGAAAACAUUAAUGUUUAAUUUAACCUUAAUACCAAAACUAUCUGAUUAAAGUUUGACUUUGUCACAAGUCUAAAUCAGGUACAAAAAAGGAAAAAAACAAAAAAUAAAAAACAAGCCUGUCUAUGACAGCAGGGAGUAGCCUUGUAGCUGCUGCAGUCUGCUUCUAGCAUGCAGACUGCUCUGUUCUCACCAAGUUCACCAUUAGCGGGUGACAGGCAGCCAGCUGCCACCUGUGACACAUAAGAGAUGUCAUUGUUCUCAGUUGGGUUUGGAAGCAGGCAGGGGUCACACUGGGGAGUCACACAGACUGUUGAUGUUGCAGGAGCCUUUCUUGGGAGUGACGGUGUGUCCCUUUUCUAAGAAUGCAAUGCACUAAAACUGUUUUAAGAAUGUAGUUUGCCCUACUUCUUCAUAGAUGGCCCCUCCCUGCCUGUGUUUCAGGUGUAAAAUCGACACUCUGGCUUUUCUCCUUUUCUCACGUGCUCUCUUGUUCUCUUUUUUUAAAACUAAUUUUUCUUUAUGAAUAUGUCUGUGACAUUUGUAAUAAAUGUCUUGUA